This 422-nucleotide ribosomal RNA is filed under the name uncultured bacterium. RNAcentral's name for it is "bacterial SSU rRNA". It matches the Rfam family "Bacterial small subunit ribosomal RNA", at positions 357 to 776 of the family's 1533-position model. The record is from RNAcentral.
AGGAAUAUUGGUCAAUGGACGCGAGUCUGAACCAGCCAAGUAGCGUGAAGGAUGACUGCCCUAUGGGUUGUAAACUUCUUUUAUAUGGGAAUAAAGUUUUCCACGUGUGGAAUUUUGUAUGUACCAUAUGAAUAAGGAUCGGCUAACUCCGUGCCAGCACCCGCGGUAAUACGGAGGAUCCGAGCGUUAUCCGGAUUUAUUGGGUUUAAAGGGAGCGUAGGUGGACAGUUAAGUCAGUGGUGAAAGUUUGCGGCUCAACCGUAAAAUUGCAGUUGAUACUGGCAUCCUUGAGUACAGUAGAGGUAGGCGGAAUUCGUGGUGUAGCGGUGAAAUGCUUAGAUAUCACGAAGAACUCCGAUUGCGAAGGCAGCCUGCUGGACUGUAACUGACGCUGAUGCUCGAAAGUGUGGGUAUCAAACAGG